RNAcentral lists this ribosomal RNA (400 nucleotides) under uncultured bacterium. RNAcentral describes it as "bacterial SSU rRNA". It matches the Rfam family "Bacterial small subunit ribosomal RNA", at positions 356 to 773 of the family's 1533-position model. The record is from RNAcentral.
GGGGAAUCUUAGACAAUGGGCGCAAGCCUGAUCUAGCCAUGCCGCGUGAGCGAUGAAGGCCUUAGGGUUGUAAAGCUCUUUCGUGGGGGAAGAUAAUGACUGUACCCCAAGAAGAAGCCCCGGCUAACUCCGUGCCAGCAGCCGCGGUAAUACGGAGGGGGCUAGCGUUGUUCGGAAUUACUGGGCGUAAAGCGCACGUAGGCGGACUGGAAAGUCAGAGGUGAAAUCCCAGGGCUCAACCUUGGAACUGCCUUUGAAACUCCCGGUCUUGAGGUCGAGAGAGGUGAGUGGAAUUCCGAGUGUAGAGGUGAAAUUCGUAGAUAUUCGGAGGAACACCAGUGGCGAAGGCGGCUCACUGGCUCGAUACUGACGCUGAGGUGCGAAAGCGUGGGGAGCAAAC